UCAUAAGUUUGACGAUAAGAGGAACCACUUAAAUAAGGUGGUGUCACAAAAUCGGAGGCCCCGACUGUUUACUAAAAACACAAUUCAGAGCAAUGAUGAAAAUCAUAGUAUUCUGGAUGAAAUUUGCCCGAUGCCAUUAACAUAAAAAAGGUAAUGGGAAACUGUUACUAAUUGAAAGUCUGGUUAAUAGCGGUCUUAACUAUGAGGAUCCUAAGGUAGCAAAAUCAGUUGGCCAUUAAAUGUGGUCUGGUAUCAAUAGUGUAACGAUGGUCUCACUGUCUCUACAACUUGCUCAGUGAAAUUGAAUUAUCCGUGCAGAUGCGGAUUGCCUCCAGGUGGACGGG
Molecule: ribosomal RNA, 344 nt
Filed under: Thelephoraceae sp. 'Taylor #11'
Lineage: Eukaryota; Fungi; Basidiomycota; Agaricomycetes; Thelephorales; Thelephoraceae
Description: LSU rRNA
Rfam family: Bacterial large subunit ribosomal RNA
Source: RNAcentral